GUACUUACCUGGCAGGGGAGAUACCAUGAUCACGAAGGUGGUUUUCCCAGGGCGAGGCUUAUCCAUUGCACUCCGGAUAUGCUGACCCCUGCAAUUUCCCCAAAUGUGGGAAACUCGACUGCAUAAUUUGCGGUAGUGGGGGACUGCGUUCGCGCUUCCCCCCC
Molecule: small nuclear RNA, 164 nt
Filed under: Tupaia belangeri chinensis (Chinese tree shrew)
Lineage: Eukaryota; Metazoa; Chordata; Mammalia; Scandentia; Tupaiidae
Description: Tupaia chinensis (Chinese tree shrew) U1 spliceosomal RNA
Rfam family: U1 spliceosomal RNA
About the family: U1 is a small nuclear RNA (snRNA) component of the spliceosome (involved in pre-mRNA splicing).
Source: Rfam by way of RNAcentral